Molecule: ribosomal RNA, 1371 nt
Filed under: uncultured bacterium
Lineage: Bacteria
Description: bacterial SSU rRNA
Rfam family: Bacterial small subunit ribosomal RNA
Source: RNAcentral
GAUGAACGCUGGCGGCGUGCCUAAUACAUGCAAGUCGAGCGAACGGACGAGAAGCUUGCUUCUCUGAUGUUAGCGGCGGACGGGUGAGUAACACGUGGAUAACCUACCUAUAAGACUGGGAUAACUUCGGGAAACCGGAGCUAAUACCGGAUAAUAUUUUGAACCGCAUGGUUCAAAAGUGAAAGACGGUCUUGCUGUCACUUAUAGAUGGAUCCGCGCUGCAUUAGCUAGUUGGUAAGGUAACGGCUUACCAAGGCAACGAUGCAUAGCCGACCUGAGAGGGUGAUCGGCCACACUGGAACUGAGACACGGUCCAGACUCCUACGGGAGGCAGCAGUAGGGAAUCUUCCGCAAUGGGCGAAAGCCUGACGGAGCAACGCCGCGUGAGUGAUGAAGGUCUUCGGAUCGUANAACUCUGUUAUUAGGGAAGAACAUAUGUGUAAGUAACUGUGCACAUCUUGACGGUACCUAAUCAGAAAGCCACGGCUAACUACGUGCCAGCAGCCGCGGUAAUACGUAGGUGGCAAGCGUUAUCCGGAAUUAUUGGGCGUAAAGUGCGCGUAGGCGGUUUUUUAGUCUGAUGUGAAAGCCCGCGGCUCACCCGUGGAGGGGCAUUGGAAACUGGAAAACUUGAGUGCAGAAGAGGAAAGUGGAAUUCCCUGUGUAGCGGUGAAAUGCGCAGAGAUAUGGAGGAACACCAGUGGCGAAGGUGACUUUCUGGUCUGUAACUGACGCUGAUGUGCGAAAGCGUGGGGAUCAAACAGGAUUAGAUACCCUGGUAGUCCACGCCGUAAACGAUGAGUGCUAAGUGUUAGGGGGUUUCCGCCCCUUAGUGCUGCAGCUAACGCAUUAAGCACUCCGCCUGGGGAGUACGACCGCAAGGUUGAAACUCAAAGGAAUUGACGGGGACCCGCACAAGCGGUGGAGCAUGUGGUUUAAUUCGAAGCAACGCGAAGAACCUUACCAAAUCUUGACAUCCUUUGACAACUCUAGAGAUAGAGCUUUCCCCUUCGGGGGACAAAGUGACAGGUGGUGCAUGGUUGUCGUCAGCUCGUGUCGUGAGAUGUUGGGUUAAGUCCCGCAACGAGCGCAACCCUUAAGCUUAGUUGCCAUCAUUAAGUUGGGCACUCUAAGUUGACUGCCGGUGACAAACCGGAGGAAGGUGGGGAUGACGUCAAAUCAUCAUGCCCCUUAUGAUUUGGGCUACACACGUGCUACAAUGGACAAUACAAAGGGCAGCGAAACCGUGAGGUCAAGCAAAUCCCAUAAAGUUGUUCUCAGUUCGGAUUGUAGUCUGCAACUCGACUACAUGAAGCUGGAAUCGCUGGUAAUCGUAGAUCAGCAUGCUACGGUGAAUACGUUCCCGGGUCU